UACGUAGGGGGCAAGCGUUGUCCGGAUUUAUUGGGCGUAAAGAGCGUGUAGGCGGCCAGGUAGGUCCGCUGUGAAAACUCGAGGCUCAACCUCGAGAUGUCGGCGGAAACCAUCUGGCUAGAGUCCGGAAGAGGAGAGUGGAAUUCCUGGUGUAGCGGUGAAAUGCGCAGAUAUCAGGAAGAACACCCGUGGCGAAGGCGGCUCUCUGGGACGGUACUGACGCUGAGACGCUAAAGCGUGGGGAGCGAACAGG
Molecule: ribosomal RNA, 253 nt
Filed under: uncultured bacterium
Lineage: Bacteria
Description: partial 16S ribosomal RNA
Rfam family: Bacterial small subunit ribosomal RNA
Source: RNAcentral